UAGAAGGAUGCCUGCUGGUUUUGGCGCCUAGCUGUUAACUAGGAUUUUGAGGGAUCGAGGCCCUCCUUUCUAU
This 73-nucleotide transfer RNA is filed under the name Gymnothorax margaritophorus (blotch-necked moray). Its description in RNAcentral is "tRNA-Asn". RNAcentral also lists the same sequence under 2 other names. Lineage: Eukaryota; Metazoa; Chordata; Actinopteri; Anguilliformes; Muraenidae. The record is from RNAcentral.